UCUGNUCUGUCACUGACGCUGAGGCUNGAAAGCGUGGGUAGCGAACAGGAUUAGAUACCCUGGUAGUNCACGCCGUAAACGAUGAGUGCUAGGUGUUAGGCCCUUUCCGGGGCUUAGUGCCGGAGCUAACGCAAUAAGCACUCCGCCUGGGGAGUACGACCGCAAGGUUGAAACUCAAAGGAAUUGACGGGGGCCCGCACAAGCGGUGGAGCAUGUGGUUUAAUUCGAAGCAACGCGAAGAACCUUACCAGGUCUUGACAUCCCGAUGCUAUUCUUAGAGAUAGGAAGUUACUUCGGUACAUCGGAGACAGGUGGUGCAUGGUUGUCGUCAGCUCGUGUCGUGAGAUGUUGGGUUAAGUCCCGCAACGAGCGCAACCCUUAUUGUUAGUUGCCAUCAUUAAGUUGGGCACUCUAGCGAGACUGCCGGUAAUAAACCGGAGGAAGGUGGGGAUGACGUCAAAUCAUCAUGCCCCUUAUGACCUGGGCUACACACGUGCUACAAUGGUCGGUACAACGAGUUGCGAGCCGGUGACGGCAAGCUAAUCUCUGAAAGCCGAUCUCAGUUCGGAUUGGAGGCUGCAACUCGCCUCCAUGGAGUCGGAAUCGCUAGUAAUCGCGGAUCAGCACGCCGCGGUGAAUACGUUCCCGGGCCUUGUACACA
Molecule: ribosomal RNA, 661 nt
Filed under: uncultured bacterium
Lineage: Bacteria
Description: bacterial SSU rRNA
Rfam family: Bacterial small subunit ribosomal RNA
Source: RNAcentral